RNAcentral lists this transfer RNA (75 nucleotides) under Bacillus pacificus. RNAcentral describes it as "tRNA-Gly". It matches the Rfam family "tRNA". From Rfam's summary of the family: Transfer RNA (tRNA) molecules are approximately 80 nucleotides in length. Their secondary structure includes four short double-helical elements and three loops (D, anti-codon, and T loops). Further hydrogen bonds mediate the characteristic L-shaped molecular structure. tRNAs have two regions of fundamental functional importance: the anti-codon, which is responsible for specific mRNA codon recognition, and the 3' end, to which the tRNAs corresponding amino acid is attached (by aminoacyl-tRNA synthetases). tRNAs cope with the degeneracy of the genetic code in two manners: having more than one tRNA (with a specific anti-codon) for a particular amino acid; and 'wobble' base-pairing, i.e. permitting non-standard base-pairing at the 3rd anti-codon position. Lineage: Bacteria; Bacillati; Bacillota; Bacilli; Caryophanales; Bacillaceae. The record is from RNAcentral. RNAcentral also lists the same sequence under 1 other name.
GCGGAAGUAGUUCAGUGGUAGAAUACAAUCUUGCCAAGGUUGGGGUCGCGGGUUCGAAUCCCGUCUUCCGCUCCA